GUAGAUAUCAGAAGGAACAUCGAUGGCGAAGGCAGCUUUCUGGACCAAUACUGACGCUGAGGUACGAAAGCGUGGGUAGCAAACAGGAUUAGAUACCCUGGUAGUCCACGCCGUAAACGAUGAUAACUAGCCGUUGGGAGGGUUUACCUCUUAGUGGCGAAGCUAACGCGUUAAGUUAUCCGCCUGGGGAGUACGGCCGCAAGGCUAAAACUCAAAGGAAUUGACGGGGACCCGCACAAGCGGUGGAGCAUGUGGUUUAAUUCGAUGCAACGCGAAGAACCUUACCUGGUCUUGACAUACAGAGAACUUUCCAGAGAUGGAUUGGUGCCUUCGGGAACUCUGAUACAGGUGCUGCAUGGCUGUCGUCAGCUCGUGUCGUGAGAUGUUGGGUUAAGUCCCGUAACGAGCGCAACCCUUAUCCUUACUUGCCAGCACUUCGGGUGGGAACUAUAAGGAGACUGCCGGUGAUAAACCGGAGGAAGGCGGGGACGACGUCAAGUCAUCAUGGCCCUUACGACCAGGGCUACACACGUGCUACAAUGGGAAGGACAAAGGGUCGCUAAGCCGCGAGGUGGUGCUAAUCUCAUAAACCUUUUCGUAGUCCGGAUCGGAGUCUGCAACUCGACUCCGUGAAGUCGGAAUCGCUAGUAAUCGUGGAUCAGAACGCCACGGUGAAUACGUUCCCGGGUCUUGUACACACCGCCCGUCAUACCAUGGGAGUGGGUUGCACCAGAAGUGGGUAGUCUAACUUAGGAGGACGCUCACCACGGUGUGAUUCAUGACUGGGGUAAAGUCGUAACAAGGUA
This 806-nucleotide ribosomal RNA is filed under the name uncultured bacterium. RNAcentral describes it as "bacterial SSU rRNA". It matches the Rfam family "Bacterial small subunit ribosomal RNA", at positions 690 to 1498 of the family's 1533-position model. The record is from RNAcentral.